This 478-nucleotide ribosomal RNA is filed under the name uncultured bacterium. RNAcentral's name for it is "bacterial SSU rRNA". It matches the Rfam family "Bacterial small subunit ribosomal RNA", at positions 28 to 505 of the family's 1533-position model. The record is from RNAcentral.
GACGAACGCUGGCGGCGUGCCUAACACAUGCAAGUCAACUUGACUGAAGGAGCAAUCUGACAGUAGAGUGGCGCAAGGGUGCGUAACGCGUAAGUAACUUGCCCCAAGGUAAGGAAUAACGUCGAGAAAUCGGCGCUAAUACCUCAUAAUGCAGCGGAUCCGCAUGGAUAUGUUGUUAAAGGUUUACCGCCUUGGGAUAGGCUUGCGUCUGAUUAGCUAGUUGGUGUGGUAACGGCACACCAAGGCUACGAUCAGUAACUGGUCUGAGAGGAUGAUCAGUCACACUGGAACUGAGACACGGUCUAGACUCCUACGGGAGGCAGCAGUGAGGAAUAUUGGGCAAUGCUCGAAAGAGUGACCCAGCAACGCCGCGUGGAGGAUGAAGGUAUUCUAUAUCGUAAACUCCUGUGAGAGCAGACGAAAGACAGAUUAUUAAUCUGGAUGACUGUAUGCUCAGAGGAAGCCCCGGCUAACUACG